Xiphophorus hellerii (green swordtail) is the source of this 302-nucleotide long non-coding RNA. RefSeq lists it as uncharacterized. The transcript is spliced from 3 exons. The record is from RefSeq and is a predicted model, not a curated record. NCBI's taxonomy places the organism in Eukaryota, Metazoa, Chordata, Actinopteri, Cyprinodontiformes, Poeciliidae.
UCAUGCACGGGAGGGUCUCAGGCAAGGAAAAUCCAGAAUCCAGAAGGAAGGAGGCAGGAGGCAGGGUCAGAGACAGGCAGGGUUCAGCAACAGGACUUUCAACAGCAGAAGGAUUAGGCAAAACUCUGAGGCUGAGUCUUGAAACGGUCCGGGGUCAUGCACGGGAGGGUCUCAGGCAAGGAAAAUCCAGAAUCCAGAAGGAAGGAGGCAGGGUCAGAGACAGGCAGGGUUCAGCAACAGGACUUUCAACAGCAGAAGGAUUAGGCAAAACUCUGUGGUCAAAAACAGGCAGGAUCAGAAAC